This is a non-coding RNA of Xyrichtys novacula (pearly razorfish), 326 nucleotides long. NCBI's taxonomy places the organism in Eukaryota, Metazoa, Chordata, Actinopteri, Labriformes, Labridae. The record is from the annotation of a GenBank genome assembly.
GGGCUAGGGUAAGGUUUAAGUUUUUGGCGUUAGGGUUAAAAUCACUGUCCAAAACCUUUGUAGGAACUCUUUUCCAACCUUUUGGAGUUAGUUAGACCAAAAAAAAAUGAAAAAAGAAAAAAAAAUAUUGGGGGUUUUCGGGCUUCCUGAAAGUAAUACCCGGGUAUUAGGUUUUGGGCUAGGGUAAGGUUUAAGGUUUUUGGCGUUAGGGUUAAAAUCACUGUCCAAAACCUUUGUAGGAACUCUUUUCCAACCUUUUGGAGUUAGUUAGACCAAAAAAAAAAAGAAAAAUGAAAAAAAUAUUUGGGGUUUUCUGGCUUCCUGAA